RNAcentral lists this non-coding RNA (148 nucleotides) under Homo sapiens (human). The record is from Rfam by way of RNAcentral. Lineage: Eukaryota; Metazoa; Chordata; Mammalia; Primates; Hominidae.
GCCGGGCGUGGUGGCGUGCGCCUGUAAUCCCAGCUACUCUGGAGGCUGAGGCACAAGAAUUGCUUGAACCCAGGAAGUGGAGUUUGCAGUGAGCUGAAAUUGCACCACUGCACUCCAGCCUGGGCGACAGAGUGAGACUCUGUCUCGA